Camelus dromedarius (Arabian camel) is the source of this 9106-nucleotide long non-coding RNA. RefSeq lists it as uncharacterized. Lineage: Eukaryota; Metazoa; Chordata; Mammalia; Artiodactyla; Camelidae. The record is from RefSeq and is a predicted model, not a curated record. The transcript has 3 exons.
GUUUCAGUGGGCUUUCUGCUUUGUGGAUCACAGCUGUGGGUGGUACUGAUGAUAAUGUUUGAGAAGAGUUGAGAAGAGCAUUUUUUGGCAGCGCUAAUUUGACUGGGAAAAGAAAGGCUUUACUCUUGAGCAAAAGCUAUUAUAAUUAAAAGUUGGGCUUGCUCAGUAGUGUGAGAAUUUUUACUUUACACUGUAUUACUGGAAGUCUUGCAGGAAGAGUGAAUGUAUUAUUUUGAGUCUGAAACUCUGGCUCCUUUUUACCCUCUUUGAAUAGCUCCUUUUAUAACAUAACUUUCAAAAAUGAGUUUUCUGGGAAUGAAUUCCUAGGUUGGAGCAGACUGUUGGGGUUUCUCUUUUCCCCAUGUCUUCAGGCUCCAUGCAGGCGGUGCCAGUGCCUCAUGCAGAUUCAGGCACCUAGUGGGCACUUGAUAAAUGUUUGGGGAAUGAUGACUUCUUAACACAGAAGGGUAACUCGAUGUGUUCACAUGAUGGGAGCCUGGUGGGGGUUCGCCUAAAGAGACAGGUUGGAGGCUGAAGAAUUAGAAGGGAUGAUUGUUGGCCAGAAACCUGGGAAAGUGGGAGCUGAUGGAAUGUGGAGCACACGGUGAAGAAUUGCCUUGAACAGGCACAGGCAGCAGAAGUGAGAUUGCUGGAAAGUCUCAUUUGGUCUGAGUGGCAAACUAAUAACACUAAUGUGGUCUGAGGUUAAUGCUGACUUUUUGAGAAAUGUUCAUGAUCGCUUUUUGCCUUGCCUUUGUCACUGCUGAUUGCCGUCUGAAUCAGGCUGGGGCAUUGGGAGGGCAGGGAGAAGGAGUGGAGUUUAGUGAGCCUCUCGGAAGAGAGUAAAACUGUAGGGAAAUGGCCAAAGCUAAGUCAUGGAGUAAUGUUUCUAGUAAGUGGUGGCUAAGAACAAAUUUGACUGAUUAAUCAGAGUUUAGGAACGGUGGGACUCUUUACUGAGUGGUCAUUUUUCUUUAUUAGAAAUUUGUAGUUGAAAUAUUGUCAGACUAAGAGCCGUUUUUACCAUUUAUGAGGCAGAAAUUUUUAAAAGUAAAAUGUCAGGCGAACUCUGUUCUUCUGGUACUUACAGUGGGCAGCCAAUUGGGAGGUCAAGCUGCCUGUUUCUAAAACACUUCCCUUGCAGUCUCUGCGACACAGUCUCCUGCCAGCCCUUAAUCUCCGUGCUCGGAGCUUCCGAAUUAAACUCCUUGAAUUUCCUAGGAGAUCCCCUGCUUUCUCCCACCUCAGAGUCUGUGCCGUGUUGGAUGUGCUCUGUGCCCACCUUAUCAGUCUGGGGGUGUCCGGGCUCCUGGGUAGAAUUGUGUGCUCCGUAAGUAGUCACUAAACAAAAGAACGCUGCUCCCUUCCGAAGGUGUUGGCACCACGGGCGAUUCCAGCCCCUCACUCGCAGCUGAGGAGGCACUGUCACAGGAUCUGUGACUUACGUGAGGUUACAUAGCCAUAGUGACACAGCUGGGACCCAGAUCUAGUCCUCGUGAUUCUCACUGCAGCACUGUCCCGAUCUGCCAGUGUGACAGCCCGUGUUGCUUUCUUCUUGGGAUCUACUCGAGAUUAGUGGUACUGGCGGAACCGUUUAAAUUCUUGACGGCGGGGAGAGAGUAGAAUGUGUUACAAUAGGUAGGGUCGUUUGGAAACUGGAGGCCUUUACAGCAGUAUCUGAGAUCCAUGGAUCAGACUGGAAAGGGGUUUUAUUUCCAAGUCCCCUGCAACUGCGAGAUUGUGUGUAAGCCUCAGGGGGUGUAGUUUCUUCAUGAUUCCAUAGCUUUGGUUAGAUUCUUUUUUUUUUUUUAAUUGGAUUAUAGUCAGUUUACAAUUUGACAAUGUUGUGUCAAAUUCCAGUGUGGAGCACAAUUUUUCAGUUAUACAUGAACAUACAUAUAUUUCACUGUCACAUUCUUUUUCACCGUGAGGUGCCACAAGAUCUUGUAUAUACUUCCCUGUGCUAUACAGUAUAAUCUUGCUUAUCUAUUCUACAUAUGCCUGUCAGUAUCUACAAGUUUCAAACUCCCAGUCUGUCCCUUCCCACCCCCACCCCCCCGGCAACCACAAGUUUGUAUUCUGUCUGUGAGUCUUUUUCUGUUUUGUAUUGAUGUUCAUUUGUCUUUUUCUUUUAUUUUCUUUCUUUUUUUUUUCUUUUUUUUUUUUUAGAUUCCACAUAUGAGCGAUCUCACAUGGUAUUUUUCUUUCCCUUUCUGGCUUACUUCACUUAGAAUGACAUUCUCCAGGGGCAUCCAUGUUGUCAUUUUUUUGGCUGAAUAGUAUUCCACUGUAUAAAUAUACCACUUCUUCUUUAUCCAGUCAUCUGUUGAUGGACAUUUAGGCUGUUUCCAUUUCUUGGCUAUUGUAAAUAGUGCUGCUGUGAACAUUGGGGUGCAGGUGUCUUUUUGAAUUAUGGUUCCUUCUGGAUAUAUGCCCAGGAGCGGGAUUCCUGGGUCAUAUGGUAAGUCUAUUCCUAGUCUUUUGAGGCAUCUCCAUGCUGUUUUCCACAGUGGCUGCACCAAACUGCAUUCCCACCAGCAGUGUAGGAGGGUUCCCUUUUCUCCACAGCCUCUUGUCAUUUGUGGACUUUUGAAUGAUGGCCAUUCUGACUGAUGUGAGGUGAUACCUCAUUAUAGUUUUGAUUUGCAUUUCUCUGAUAAUUAGUGAUAUUGAGCAUUUUUUCAUGUGCCUAUUGAUCAUUUGUAUGUCUUCCUUGGAGAAUUGCUUGUUUAGGUCUUCUGCCCAUUUUUGGAUUGGGUUGUUUGUUUUUUUCUUAUUAAGUCGUGUGAGCUGCUUAUAUAUUCUGGAGAUCAAGCCUUUGUCAGUUUCAUCUUUUGCAAAAAUUUUCUCACAUUCCAUAGGUUGUCAUUUUGUUUUGUUUAUGGUUUCCUUUGCUGUGCAGAAGCUUGUAAGUUUAAUUAGGUCCCAUUUGUUUAUUCUUGCUUUUAUUUCUAUUGCUUGGGUAGACUGCCCUAGGAGAACAUUUUUGAGAUGUAUGUCAGAUAAUGUUUUGCCUAUGUUUUUUUCUAGGAGGUUUAUUGUGUCUUGUCUUAUGCUUAAGUCUUUGAUCCAUUUUGACUUUACUUUUGUGUUGGUUAGAUUCUUAAAUAGGUCUCUGUGACUCCUCCAAAGGUAAGGACCACUGCUUUAAGGGAAAGCAGCCUUGGGAAUAAUGCUUCAUAAAGAAUAUGUAGCUAGAACUAAUGCUGUGUUCUAGGUUACCGAUACCUAUAAUUAUGGAAUUACAGAUAGUUGCAUUUGGCCCCUAGCCUUCUAUCUUCCCUCUUGUUCAGUUUAUUGAUUUUUAACCAGAAUCUCUGACGGCCCUUUUUGGCUUCUCCCAGAUCAUUACUGCCUGUAAACAUUCCCGGCUCUGAGAUGGAGCGCUGUCAGAGCUCUCGAGGUCUCCGCCGUCCCAACUCCCAACUCCCAACUCCCUGCCUCGUCUCUUCGUUUUCUUUCUCGGUGUCUCUUCGUUUUCUUUCUCGGUUCGCUCUUCCGGAGAGUAAACCAGAGAUGUGGGCAGAUAAGAUCUAGGAAUGCAAAACUAAAAUUAACAUAAAUGUGCUCUUCACUUUCUCAAAUAAGCGUAUGUAUGAUUUGUUUCUCCUGGAAACUCUCCUCCAGAUUCUCUCUGCUCUGUUCCUGGUCAGUUGUGCCAUUGAAAUUGUUGCUUCUUAUUGGUAAGCUGUUAGGGCCAGAGAAGAUUUAAACCAACUAGUGAGUCAGAACUUUUGACAAUGCCCUCCAUUACUUUGGACAGUGUUGAGUCAGUUGAGCCAUAUACUGAGUCAGUUGAGCAUGUAAAUUUAAAAUAUAGCCGCUGAUAACUGAGGAACAGAUGCAGUUCAGCAGGCUGAUGGUAAAGAAUAUAAAUUCUGACUCUGUCCUGAGUGGAAUAGUAAGCUUUCCUGUGACGUUCUUAAUUGGAACGAUGUUCCACCGAGCUGGGCUGUUGUCUGAAAUAGCUGUUAAAAAUGAAUGUAGUGCUGCUUGAGAUGUGCUGGAUGCAGUGCUAGUUCAACGUUCUGUUUAUGGUGCAGUGGUAGUGUUUCAGGAGGCUGUUUUGGCUUGACAGUGAAACCCUUGCUUGUAAAGAUCACGGACACCGCCAGACACCUUUAAGGUGAAACCUGUGAGUGGAAGAAAUGUCCACAUACGUGAAAUCUCCCCAAAUUUAGCAUGUGGUUUCAGGGCUGUCGCAGGCACCCCGAGGAGUGUUGGGGUUGAUGACCUCCAGGAAAGAAGUCCUGGUCGAGGAACUGGUGUAAGGUUUGUUCUCUGAAAGCUAUCGGUUCCUCUUGAGAGUUUACUCACUCUGCUUCCAGGAAUUCUUGAGGUGGAUUGGGGUAAGGUUGCCUGGCUCCCAGAGGGAGUCAAGGCUGGGCCCUUAGGACAACUGCAGUUCCUCCCAGACGAUGGGGAUGGAUUUAUGUGUCAAGCAGUGAAAUUAUAAAACGUAGAUUCACAUUUCAAAUCUCAAAGUUUUUAUUUUUUGUAUGUCUAUUGCUGUAACUUAAUCUCCAUCAUUGUCGGGGUGAAAUAGUUAUAAUACUUUAUUAUUAUAUAAUAUUAAAUAAUAUUUUAGUACUUGGUACAUAGCUGUGUUCUAUAUAGUGCAUGGAAAACUUUAUAUCCUCGUACUGUAGAAUGUUCUGCCUUGAACUGUUACGAUGGAAUAGCAAAUAAGAAUUCAGGAAACUGGAAGAGUCAUCUGUUAAUUUUAUAAGAAAAAUGUAGGAUCCCAAAUCGGUAGAGUUUCUACUUACAGAAGAAAUAUUGAAAUUUCUUUGCUUAUACUUAAGGUCCCUGAGUGAAUCUGGAAUUAUAUGAUGAAUUAUAGGACACUGGCUUUAUUAGUCAGACGUCUGUGCGUGUAGUCUGUGUGAAGACCCCUGGACGGGUGCAGCACAGUGGGAAGGAAGCUAGCUGCCUUGUGCGCCUACGCGCGCUGCGUCAGAGUGUCCAGACUCAGUCUUGGCCCUAAUGUGACUGUGACGGAUUGCGGAGAGAGAAUUCCUGGUGGAGUAAGUUCUGCUCUGCGUCACACUUUUUUUUGAGAGGUUCUCCUCUUUGAGAAAAAAACUUGGUAAGAAUAAAAUCGCUUAUCUUGACUGAGCUCCUACUUUGCAUCAGGCGUGUGCAGUGUAACUUCUUGUGGAUCAGCGGGGGUGGCUACAAAGGAGAAAACACUGAGUUUUUCCGAAUUUAUGCUGCAGUUAAGUAGUAGAUCCAGAUAGGAAUCCCAGACUUAAUUUUAGAGCUUGUGUCUUAAUAAAUAAGUAAGUUCGUGCCUUGGUUAGGAGCACGUGAACACUGCAGAAGUUAAAACAGUGCAAGGCUGUGUAAGUCCUUUUCUGUAGGUGCUCACUGCGCUGGCUUCCCGUGUUCCUUCUCAGAGGCCUGGACCUCAGCCACGUGCGAGUCUCCCCUGCUGCCCCCCACCAUCUGUCCCACACUCUCCCCAGCCCUAUGAAGCCAAUAUAUCACAGUUAUUUUUACUUAGUAUGUAACGGAAACCCUUGCAUGCAGGCCUCGUGUGUUCAUUUGAACUGUUGCGUGGUGUUUAUUGUUCAACCGCCCGUCUACAAAGGCCGUGUGGCUCGUUUCUGGUCUUCAGCUGCUGUGAACAGUGCAGCAGUGAGUACCCUUGCAGAGAGGUCGUCGGCAGCGUGAGACGGUGCCCCUGUCCCUUCCGCUCCUCAGUGCUCUGAUCGUUGUGUGCCGGGUGGAAAAUGGUCUUACCUUUGCUGUAUGUUACAAUUUUCUUACUAUGAAUGAAGCUGAACAACUUUUACUUUUGAAAAGCCGUUUGCAUUUCCUUCCUCUUUCUCAUGUAAGAGCUCCUUACAUAUUAAGGAAGUUAAGCCUUUGUCACACAAUACAGAUAUUUUUCAACUUUUUGAUUAUCUUUGACCUUGUUUAUAUUUUUUCAUGUAGAAGAGUUAAAUUUUUAUGAAAUCGGAUUUAUCAUCCUUUUCUAGGCUUUCGUGCCGUGGUGGCUUAUAGAGGCCUACUUUAUUCUAUGAUUACAAAAAAUUUUUCCAGUGUUUUUCAGUAAAAUAUUAUGGUUAAAUUUAUGUUUAAAUCAUUGCUCAACCAGGACUUAAUUUUUGGUAUGAGAAUGAGGUAGCCAUCCAAUUAAAAUUUUUUUCUAAUACAAUAUAUGUAACAAUUUUCAUUUUAACCAUUUUUAAGUACACAAGUCAAUGUCAUUUACUCCAUGUACAAUGUUGUGCAACCAUCACCACUGUUUCCAAAACGCUUUCAGUACCCCAAAUAGAAACUCUGUCCCCAUUAAGUAAUGACUCCCUCUUCCCGCCUCCCGCAGCCCCUGGUAACCUCCACUCCACUUUCUGUCUCUGCGAAGUUGCCUGCCCUAGGUACCUGAUAAAGUGGUCAUACAGUGUCUGUCCUUUGUGUCGAGAGGGACUUGCUGAGCCAUGUUGUAGCCUGGACCAACACCCUUCCUUUCUUUGCGUGGCUGACUGGUGUCUUUUUGUGUGGAUGUACCACAUUUUGUUUGUCUGUCUGUUAAUGGACAUUUGGAUUUUUUCACCUUUUGAUUAUAGUGAAUAAUUAAUGCUGCUGUGACAUUGGUGUGCAGAUAUCCAUUGAAGUUCCUGUUUUUAAUUCUUCUGGUUUGGACCUGGAAGUGGAAUUGCUGGAUAGUACGGUGGUUCUGUGUUUAGCUUUUGAGGAAUUGCUGCACUGUUUUCCACAGAGGCUGCAGCAGUUCAGAUUUCCACCAGCGGUGCUCCAGGGUUCUGGUUUCUUCGUAGCCUCUCUAACACUUGUUAUUUUCCAGUUUUUAAAGUGUGGUCAUGCGUGGUAGUUAUGUCGUUGUGGCUUAGACUGGCAUUUCCCUUAUAAUUAGGUGUUGAGCAUCUUUUUCAUGUGUUCACUGACCAUUUGUGUAUCUUUGGAGAAAUGCCUAUUGAAGUUUUUUGCCCUUCAUUAUUUUUUUAAAAUUAAGACUUUAUUUUUAGAGCAGUUUUCGAUUCACAGUAAAGCUGAGAGGAAGAUACAGAGCUUUCCUGUGUACCCCCUGCCCCACACGUGCACAGCAUCCUCACCAGGUGGGACAUUUGAUCUAGUCUGUGAACCUUCAUUGACACAUACUAAUCACCAAAAUCUGUAGUUUGCUUUAAGGUUCACUCUCGGCGGUGUACCUUCUGUGGGUUUGGGCACAUGGAUCCGUCAUAUGGCAUCAUGCAGCGUAUUUUCCCUGCCAGAAAAUUCACCUGUGCCCUGCCUUUUCUUCCCUCCCUCCCCCGACAACCACCGAUCUUUACUGUCUCCAUAGUUGUGCCUUUUCCAGAAUUCCAUGGAGUUGGAAUCAUAUGUGUGUAGCCUUUUCAGGCUGGCUUCUCUCACUGUGUGCUGUAGUUUAAAGUUCUUCCAAAAAAAAAAAAAGAACGUAAAUACAAAACAGAGACAGACUCAUAGACAUAGAAGACAAACUUGUGGUUGCCAGGGGUGGGGGUGGGGGUGGGAAGGGACAGACUGGGAGUUCAAAAUUUGUAGAUACUGACCGGCAUAUGUAGAAUACAUAAAUGAGGUUAUACGGUAUAGCACAGGGAAAUAUAUACAAGAUCUUGUGGUAGCUCACAGCGAAAAAAAAUGUGACAAUGAAUAUAUGUCUGUUCAUGUAUAACUGAAAAAUUGUGCUCUGCACUGGAAAUUGAUACAACAUUGUAAAAUGACUAUAACUCAAUAAAAAAUGUUUAAUAAAAUAAAGUAAAAUGCAGGUCAAAUCCCAUUAGAACAAUGUAUAUGGUUAAAAUAAAAAUCUCUGAUCCUAAAAAAAAAAGAAGAGAAGAGACACAUGGAGAGAAGGCCAUGUGAUGACAGACUCAGAGAUUAAUGAUGCGUCUACGAGCCAAGGAUUGCAGCAACACCAGAAGCUGGAAGAGGCAAGGAAAGCUCCUUCCCUGUGGGCUUUGGAUCGCAGUGACCCUGGGACACCUUCAGUGUGGCCUUCCAGCCUCCAGAAAUGCGAGCGAUGUGCAGGAUGACCCUCCCGCGUGAUGCUCUGCAGCGACACUGUUUGACCUCUGCUUGGAGCCAUCUUUCCCUCCGUGACGUGGCAUCCUCCUGCUCACCCUUCAGGUCUGUUCAUGCGCUCUGCUGGUCACGCCCGCAGGCAGGAAGAAAUCCUCCUCCUGUGUUGACUUGAAAUGUGAGCAUACUUUUUUUUAUGGCACUUACUAGACUGGCCCCAUAGUCCCAAGGGAAGUCUUAAGGUCUAAUUUCAAAAAGACAGUUGUCAGACACAGUCAUGCAAACAGUAGUAAAAAUUGGCAACAAGAAAAGUGAUAGGAGAUGAGAAGCAGAUGUAGUUUUUUAGGUCUUUAAUCCCAUACAGGAGAAGGUUUUUGGUGUUGUUCUUGUUUAUCACUGAAAUGACCAAACACAGUGAUAUGAAAAAAUCCACGUUAUCCUCUGACACUAGAGAAGGGUCCCACCCACAUAUUUGAGACGUAGGGGGUUUGGGUAGUCAUGGUGGGGUGUCCAAAAAAGUCAGUAAGGGCUGCUGCCUGCACUUCCUUUCUGUAAAGGUGAGCAAACAAACGUGAGGCCUAGGGAAAAAUCAGCACUUCAAGACAGUGAGACUGCAUCAUUCAGAGCACGUGAGGUAGGACAGGAAAGAGAGAAAAGUGGACUUCAGAUUCCCAAAAUGACAAAAGCAGAUGGUAAAAAUAAACUGAGACCAGGAAAGAGUUCUGGGAGUUAUAAACAGAACUGUUAAAAAAUUCAGGACUCACUAGCAGAAGAGAUACUGCAGAAUACCAGGUUAUCCUGGGGAAAACCUCUGAGCGUUCAGGAAAAAGAUUUGAGAAAUGCGUAUUAUGAGAGCACGUUUUAAACACAGGGAGGUCUCACGUCUGUGAUAGGGCUUCCUGAAAGAGGUCACGGGGGGACUGGGAUGCAGCGGCAGCUGAAGAGAGAGCGGGAGAACGUCACUGAGCUGAAGAGAGAUCAGUCUCUCGGGAGUGCCUUCCGAAAGCAUCUGCACCUCGGUGCGUCCUGAGGAGUUUUCUGAGUAUGCAGGGCAAAGAAAAAACCAGACAAGUGUUCCUCAGGGGAGAACAAACGAGAUUUG